GCCGGAGUGGCGCAAUUGGUAGCGCGCCCGCCUUGUAAGCGGAUGGUUGUGGGUUCGAGUCCCAUCUCCGGCCCCA
Molecule: transfer RNA, 76 nt
Filed under: Corynebacterium sp.
Lineage: Bacteria; Bacillati; Actinomycetota; Actinomycetes; Mycobacteriales; Corynebacteriaceae
Also listed under: 1 other name
Description: tRNA-Thr
Rfam family: tRNA
About the family: Transfer RNA (tRNA) molecules are approximately 80 nucleotides in length. Their secondary structure includes four short double-helical elements and three loops (D, anti-codon, and T loops). Further hydrogen bonds mediate the characteristic L-shaped molecular structure. tRNAs have two regions of fundamental functional importance: the anti-codon, which is responsible for specific mRNA codon recognition, and the 3' end, to which the tRNAs corresponding amino acid is attached (by aminoacyl-tRNA synthetases). tRNAs cope with the degeneracy of the genetic code in two manners: having more than one tRNA (with a specific anti-codon) for a particular amino acid; and 'wobble' base-pairing, i.e. permitting non-standard base-pairing at the 3rd anti-codon position.
Source: RNAcentral